Molecule: small RNA, 672 nt
Filed under: Pan troglodytes (chimpanzee)
Lineage: Eukaryota; Metazoa; Chordata; Mammalia; Primates; Hominidae
Description: retained intron
Source: RNAcentral
CAUUUCCUGGGACCUAGAACGGGCCUAGCUCAGAGCAGGUGCUCACUAUUGAUGGAAUGCAUGUUGAAAGAAUGCGUGAAUCUCAUCUCCUUUUGUGGGUGAAAAUCUCAUCCUAUUCUCACUCCUGAUUAACUUUCUUUCUUUUUUUUUUUUUUCAAAAUGGAGCCCUGAUCUGUCACCCAGGCUGCAGUGCAAUGGUGCAAUCUUGGCUCGCUGCAACCUCUGCCUUCUGGAUUAAAGCAAUUCUCCUGCCUCAGCCUCCUGGGUAGCUGGGAUUACAGGGGAGUCCUUGAGCAGAAGGAAGCAAGUUGCCUGAGAUUCUUCAAAGCCCGCAGCCCUUUUGGAUGUUAGAUGGUUAUUCUCAGAGCCUUUAUGAUGCAUAAUAAAGACCUAGCUUGGACCAAUAUUAGGAUGAGUUAUCUUGCUAUUAACAUUCUUUUAGGUAGAAGUUGCUGGUCCCAUCUUGCUCACAAUCCUCCAAAGUUUGAAAGUUAUUUUCCAGGAGACUUGGCUUGCACUGAGAGCUGCCCUCCCACCCUCUCUCCAAAUUUCCUCUUGGGGGUAGCCUAACAAGGUGCUGUCACAGACCCUUGUCAGCCACUAUGACCCCACCCAGACCAUCCCUCUGCUGUUUCACUCUUUGAUAGUCUCUGGAGCUCUCUGGGGAGGGGU